AUGUCUGACUCAAAAGUAAACGACUCUCAGGCAGGAUACGAAUCAGCCAUCACAAACCUGAUGGUUGCGCUGGCAGGAGGAAAUUUCAUCCAUGAUGCGG
Desulfobacteraceae bacterium 4484_190.3 is the source of this 100-nucleotide non-coding RNA. The record is from Rfam. NCBI's taxonomy places the organism in Bacteria, Pseudomonadati, Thermodesulfobacteriota, Desulfobacteria, Desulfobacterales, Desulfobacteraceae.